CAGGCGCUGGCGGAGGCGGCGGCGGAGAAGGGCUCGCUGCAGGAGCAGCUGCGGGAGCUGCGGGGCGAGCGUGCCGAGCUGCAGCGGCGCGCGCAGGAGCUCGAGGCCCAGGGUCGGCAGCAGCAGGAGGUGAGGGAGCCACCGGGGCUGCAGGAAGCUUGCCGGGGCUUCCCCAAAGCCGGCCUGGGUGGGCGGCUGGGUGUCCCCCGUCUGGUGUCCCCUGUCCUUCCCUGUCCUCCCCAUCCAAUGUCCCCCAUGCUUUUCCAUCCAGCAUCACCCAUCCUUCCUCAUCCAGUGUCCUUCCCCAUCCAGCCUCUCCCAUCCCUGUCCCUACCCUGUCCUUCCCCAUCCAGUAUCUCCUGUCCUUCCCCGUCCGGUAUCUCCUGUCCUUCCCCAUCCAGCAUCUCCUGUCCUUCCCCGUCCAGCAUCUCCUUUCCUUCCUUGUCCAGUGUCCUUCCCCAUCCAGCAUCUCCCAUCCCUGUCCCUACCCCGUCCUUCCCUGUCCAGCAUCUCCUGUCCUUCCCNUCCAGCAUCUCCUGUCCUUCCUUGUCCAGUGUCCUUCCCCAUCCAGCAUCUCCCAUCCCUGUCCCUACCCCGUCCUUCCCUGUCCAGCAUCUCCCGUCCCUGUCCCUACCCCAUCCUUCCCUGUCCAGCACCUCCCGUCCCUGUCCCUAGCCUGUCCUUCCCCAUCCAGCGUCCACCAUCCUUCCCUGUCCUCCCUGUCCACCAUUCCUUGUCCUUCCUUGUCCUGUGUCCUCCCCAUUCUUCCCUGUCCCCCGUCCUCCUCAUCCAAAGUCCCCUGUCCUUCCUCAUCCAGCAUCCUCCUCAUCCAGUCUCCCCUGUUCCUCGUCCUUCCGUCUCCCAUCCUUUCUUGUCCAACAGCCUCCUCAUCCAGCAUCCCCUGUCUUUCCCUGUCCUUCAUCAUCCAACCGACCCUGUCCUCCCCAUCCAACUUCCCCCAUUCUAUGAUGUCCCUUAUUUUUCCCAUCCGGCAUCCUCCGGCGUCCCCCUUCCAUCCCCGGCGCGGCGCUCCCGGCGGGCCCCAGCUGCUGCGGCA
Molecule: long non-coding RNA, 1057 nt
Filed under: Apteryx owenii (little spotted kiwi)
Lineage: Eukaryota; Metazoa; Chordata; Aves; Apterygiformes; Apterygidae
Description: lncRNA (ENSAOWG00000013084.1)
Source: RNAcentral